CCUACGGGAGGCAGCAGUGGGGAAUAUUGCACAAUGGGCGAAAGCCUGAUGCAGCGACGCCGCGUGAGGGAUGACGGCCUUCGGGUUGUAAACCUCUUUCAGCAGGGAAGAAGCGAAAGUGACGGUACCUGCAGAAGAAGCGCCGGCUAACUACGUGCCAGCAGCCGCGGUAAUACGUAGGGCGCAAGCGUUGUCCGGAAUUAUUGGGCGUAAAGAGCUCGUAGGCGGCUUGUCACGUCGGGUGUGAAAGCCCGGGGCUUAACCCCGGGUCUGCAUUCGAUACGGGCUAGCUAGAGUGUGGUAGGGGAGAUCGGAAUUCCUGGUGUAGCGGUGAAAUGCGCAGAUAUCAGGAGGAACACCGGUGGCGAAGGCGGAUCUCUGGGCCAUUACUGACGCUGAGGAGCGAAAGCGUGGGGAGCGAACAGGAUUAGAUACCCUGGUAGUCCACGCCGUAAACGGUGGGAACUAGGUGUUGGUGACAUUCCACGUCGUCGGUGCCGCAGCUAACGCAUUAAGUUCCCCGCCUGGGGAGUACGGCCGCAAGGCUAAAACUUACAAGAUAGUGCGNGNGAGNGCGACGACGACGACGAGGAGGAG
This 597-nucleotide ribosomal RNA is filed under the name uncultured bacterium. RNAcentral describes it as "bacterial SSU rRNA". It matches the Rfam family "Bacterial small subunit ribosomal RNA", at positions 338 to 943 of the family's 1533-position model. The record is from RNAcentral.